GAUGAACGCUGGCGGCGUGCCUAAUACAUGCAAGUCGAGCGAACAGACGAGGAGCUUGCUCCUCUGACGUUAGCGGCGGACGGGUGAGUAACACGUGGAUAACCUACCUAUAAGACUGGGAUAACUUCGGGAAACCGGAGCUAAUACCGGAUAAUAUAUUGAACCGCAUGGUUCAAUAGUAAAAGACGGUUUUGCUGUCACUUAUAGAUGGAUCCGCGCCGCAUUAGCUAGUUGGUAAGGUAACGACUUACCAAGGCAACGAUGCGUAGCCGACCUGAGAGGGUGAUCGGCCACACUGGAACUGAGACACGGUCCAGACUCCUACGGGAGGCAGCAGUAGGGAAUCUUCCGCAAUGGGCGAAAGCUUGACGGAGCAACGCCGCGUGAGUGAUGAAGGUCUUCGGAUCGUAAAACUCUGUUAUUAGGGAAGAACAAAUGUGUAAGUAACUAUGCACGUCUUGACGGUACCUAAUCAGAAAGCCACGGCUAACUACGUG
RNAcentral lists this ribosomal RNA (497 nucleotides) under uncultured bacterium. RNAcentral's name for it is "partial 16S ribosomal RNA". It matches the Rfam family "Bacterial small subunit ribosomal RNA", at positions 28 to 507 of the family's 1533-position model. The record is from RNAcentral.